This 460-nucleotide ribosomal RNA is filed under the name uncultured bacterium. RNAcentral's name for it is "partial 16S ribosomal RNA". It matches the Rfam family "Bacterial small subunit ribosomal RNA", at positions 338 to 795 of the family's 1533-position model. The record is from RNAcentral.
CCUACGGGUGGCAGCAGUGAGGAAUAUUGGUCAAUGGACGCUAGUCUGAACCAGCCAUGCCGCGUGCAGGAUGACGGCUCUAUGAGUUGUAAACUUCUUUUGUACGAGGAUAAACGCAGAUACGUGUAUCUGUCUGAAAGUAUCUUACGAAUAAGGAUCGGCUAACUCCGUGCCAGCAGCCGCGGUAAUACGGAGGAUUCAAGCGUUAUCCGGAUUUAUUGGGUUUAAAGGGUGCGUAGGCGGUCGGAUAAGUUAGAGGUGGAAUCGCGAGGCUCAACUUCGAAAUUGCAUCUGAUACUGUUAGGCUAGAGAGUAGUAGCGGUAGGCGGAAUGUAUGGUGUAGCGGUGAAAUGCUUAGAGAUCAUACAGAACACCGAUUGCGAAGGCAGCUUACCAAGCUACUUCUGACGUUGAGGCACGAAAGCGUGGGGAGCAAACAGGAUUAGAUACCCCAGUAGUC